Molecule: long non-coding RNA, 2478 nt
Filed under: Nicotiana benthamiana
Lineage: Eukaryota; Viridiplantae; Streptophyta; Magnoliopsida; Solanales; Solanaceae
Description: long non-coding RNA (NBEN_LNC036604)
Source: RNAcentral
UACUUUUCACUAACCAGUCUCAAUACUUUUUUACAACAGAUUAUUACAUACCAAUACUGAAAUGAAUUACAUAAGUAGAUAAGAAAAACAAAAAGGUUACACUAUAGAGAGCCUGAAAACAUGCCCAAAUUUCUAACACCUAAAUAAGACUUCCUCCCUGUGUUAUGUAAUAAAUAACCUCAAAUGCCAAGAUUGUUCGAUACUCUUUCUCAUAUCUGUGUGUGUCAGAGUUCCCUAAUAACCUCAAGAGAUCCCUGGCAGUGCUCACACCCAGAUUUCAUAGCCAAGACAGAGUAAGUGUAGUGUGGAAAUGACAGCUUUCAUGUGUCCAAGUUUAUGGGGAGCUCAAGGGUCUCAAGGCAAGGCUCACACAAAAGAGGCAGAACUUAGUGGUCUAAGAGUAGAGUGAGAGUGUUUUAACAUAGUUUGAAAGAAAGAGUAGAGUGAGAGUGCUUUAACAUAGUUUGAAAGAACUUAGUAAAAUAAUGUUGAAGUAAAAAACUUUCAAGAGUGAGAAGGUUUUCAAGAAUAGACACAGUUUUAGAAAAAAAUGCUAAGAGUGAAAAUAGUUUUGGAAGCAGUUCUGAGAAAACACACAAUCACAAAAAAAAAAAAAAUUAGAGUACCCAGAUUCGAAACAUUUAUUACUUGAUUCUAAGUGAAGACAAACAACUUUACAGACAAUGAUAAGGGGGAUUGGGGACAUAGAGAGCUCAAAUCAGAAACGCAUAAACAUGGAUAAGAUGAGAAGCAUAUAGACCAGCAAGUACAAAGAACAAGUAGGAACUGAUUGAUAUCCAAGAACACAAAACUACCAAUUCAAAUUAUUAACAAAGGAAUCAUACACGAAAUUAUAAUAAUAAUAAUAAUAAUAGUAAUAAUAGGCAGUAAGAUAUAAAGACAGGGUAUGGGAGUAGUCGUGUUGCUUAGUGUUAAUCAAGUACAUUAGGAGUCUAUGACAAUAACAUGAGCAUACUAGUUAAAGGAAAUAAACAAGAACUCAAGUAAACAUGCUGGCCAAGUAUCAUACAAGACAAGUGGGACCCAAACAUGUAGAUUACACACUUGAACAGGAGAGGACAAAACUUAAGCAUGCAAAAAUAAGCAGUAAACAAGAAGGGCAAUUAAAUACAUAAGCCAUUAAAUUAGUGUAGAAGGAGAAAUGGAUCACAUAGAGAUGAGUUUCAGAAUUGAACUAGGAACAUACCAGUUAAGGAAGCAAAGAGCAAAAAGUAAAGCAAGUAGAGUUCCACAAUCUAGCAUUGGCUUUCAGACGGCUAGACAAGCAGUUAGCACAAGCAUCAGAGAAAGAGGAGAGAGUUUGAGUGUGUGUGUGUGUGUAUUUUGAACUAUUGUUCAUGUCUAGAGGUAGAAUAAGAGGAGAGUAUAUAUAGUAGUUGAGAGAAGAGCAAAAUAAGGUAAAUAGUCAAUCAUUCAGUAAUUAGGGAAAAUUACAUAAUCAAUUAUACAUAAAAUCAGCAAGGUUUUCUUCUAAUAAAGGGGUGACCAGUUAAUGAUAAAGAGCAGGGCAUAUAAUUAAGGAAGAAAAAUUAAAUACUUAAGAAUGGGGUGGGUAAUUAAGGGUAAAUGAACAAAAGUUCAAUUAAAGGAACAAUCAAUAAGAAUCAGCAAGUAUCACAGUUAAUCGUAAAUAAGGCAAGAAAUAAUCAAUGGUCGUAGAAAUAGAAAAAUAACCGAAAAUCGGUAUAUAGGUAUUACCAUAGCAAAUCAGUUAAUAAGGACUCAAAUAAUACUAAUUGGGGGGAAAUGAUAUAGGGUUUCCAUGAAUAAGCAAUUAAACCAAGUAUAAACGGAAAUAAUCGAAUAUGAAACCUUUAUAGUGGCAUACUAGGGUAAAAUCACAAGAUAUUCUAAUUAAACGAAGAAGUAAUCAUGUAAAUCAAAGCAUAGAAUAUUGGUAUGUAUCAAAUAACACGAACAAAUGCAGAAUCCAAACAAAGUAUCAAAAUUGGAGUUUUUAGCAUAUGCUAGUUAGGGUUAAGGAAGAACUCAACGAAAUCAAUCAAAACACAUAGACACAUGGGACUAAACACUUAAAACCAGAAAGCGUUUUGAAGAAAAGGAUUUUCAGAAACACUUGUUUAGGAAGAGCGACUAAAAUUGAAAUAGCUAGUUAAAAUGGGGAUUUUUAAAGGAAAAUGCUUAAUAAUACUCGAAUCAUCUCAGAUCUAUAAAGAAUUGAGAAGAAUCGAACAAUAGCGUACUAAGAGGAAAUCCUUUCUUACAAACGAAAAUGGUCGGAGACAGGCCAGUAGACGAGUUUCAGACCAGAACAGGUUGGCUUUUUUUGAGAUCUUCUCAAGGACUUGUGAAGUCGAACAGCCAUGGAGUAUAGGAGACCAGAGGCGGUCAGAGAAGGCACGAAAAUACCAUAGGAAGGAGUUUCUCGUUCGUGACAGUGAUUGGGGUUUGAGGGUGUCUGAAAGAUAAGAUAAGAGGAGAUGAUUUAGAGGCGGU